CUUUGUGUGAGGGGGAAUAUCUUUCUUCCCCCUCCCCUUUGAUUUGGGAAUGUAGCAACCCCAUAUCGAGUAAUCCUCUGAAAUCGGUGCUGGGAAGAGCAGUCCAUGGGAGGGCCCAGAAGGAAGCCACAAGAAAGACAGGCCCCUUGCUUCCUUUUCCCUGGAAGACAACUAAGAUCAUUGAUCAAAAAGGAGUCCAGCAGUCUUCUUGACCAGAGGAAACUUGUAGUGAUGGAGAGCUUACUUAGGGAUAAGAUCUGGAAGAAGGGAGCUCAUCUCCUGAAGACAUGAGCAGAUGAAAAAGAAUAGAGCUAUAUCUGGGAUACAACCUGGCAAGGCCCCAAAUAUUGGCUGACUGCUUGGGCCAAAGUGACA
Molecule: long non-coding RNA, 375 nt
Organism: Dermochelys coriacea (leatherback sea turtle)
Lineage: Eukaryota; Metazoa; Chordata; Testudines; Dermochelyidae
Exons: 4
Source: RefSeq, a predicted model, not a curated record